RNA transcript from Syzygium oleosum, 1462 nucleotides. It is a transcript of the gene named serine/arginine-rich splicing factor SR30-like, with no coding region annotated. Lineage: Eukaryota; Viridiplantae; Streptophyta; Magnoliopsida; Myrtales; Myrtaceae. The transcript is spliced from 13 exons. The record is from RefSeq and is a predicted model, not a curated record.
CGCGCUUACCAGAAGCUCCGGUUAUAUACGUCUCCUCCUCCUCCUCUUCCUCUUCUUCUUCAUCUCCUUCUUCUUCCUCUUCAUCAUCAUCGUCUCUCGAAGCUUCCAACAAUCAACGUCAGCUCGCCAAGUUCCGCGACCUCCUCGUGCAGGAAAAGCGAAAAUGAGCCGCCGUUCUAGCUGCACAAUCUACGUCGGGAAUCUGCCGGGGGAUGUCCGGAAUAGAGAAGUUGAAGACUUGUUCUACAAGUAUGGGCCCAUUGUCGACAUUGAUUUGAAGAUCCCUCCCAGACCACCAGGUUAUGCUUUUGUUGAGUUUGAAGACCCUCGUGAUGCUGAAGAUGCGAUUCGUGGUCGUGAUGGAUGUAAGUUUGAUGGGUACCGUCUGCGAGUUGAGCUGGCACAUGGUGGGCGAGGAUAUUCUUCAUCUGUGGACCGGUAUGGAAGCUACAGUGGCAGCGGAAGUAGCCGUGGAGGAGUUGGCAGGCACUCUGACUAUCGUGUUUUGGUCACUGGAUUGCCUUCUUCGGCAUCAUGGCAGGACCUGAAGGAUCACAUGCGUCGGGCAGGAGAUGUCUGUUUUUCUGAAGUAUUCCGUGAUCGUGAUGGUGUUACUGGAAUUGUUGAUUACACAAACUAUGAUGACAUGAAAUAUGCCAUCAAGAAACUUGAUGACACUUUAUUCAGGAAUGCCUUCAGUCGGGCUUAUAUACGGGUAAGAGAGUAUGAUUCAAGGAGGAGUUACUCUAGGAGUCCCAGUCGCAGCCCUAGCUACAGUGACAGAAGCAGAAGUAGGUCUCCUAGGAAAAAAUACUCAAGACGUUCUCCAUCAGUAUCUCCAGCAAGGUCUGUCUCUUCUAGAUCCCGCUCAGGGUCUUAUGCUCGCUCUUACUCAAGAUCAGGAAUCUUCUGGCAUCCUGGGGAUCCCUCAUAAGGACCUUCAUGGGAUGUGGUGCUACUCUGUAAGUUGUUGAGGUAAAAUCCUGUUUUGUAAUGAGUGGCUACAGAACUGGAACUACACCAAUGCUGAAUUAAUAGUAAAACAUGGCAUGCCAUCUGGCACUGGGUGUUCUCUGAGUCUGUCGUGCGUGGAUGUGAUGAUUUCAAGAUAGAUUCUAAUGCGAUGCAGCUGGUAUUACGGAUCAGCAAUGCAUGUUAACAUCCAGAAACCAGGCUUGACUCUCUGUCGGUGACUCAAAAAUUUAGGUUUAUUGUAGUGUAAGCGACAGUGAAAGGAAAUCUAUUCUUCUCCUGCUGGAAGAGGAUAAUGCUUUGGGUUCUCUAUGGAAAUUUGACUAUGUCAAACGUGAGGCUGUUGAAUGCUGAGCCUGAUCAUACUCAGAGGUCUCAAAGUGUUUUAAGUGGUUUACUAUGGUAUUAAUAUCUGGACACUUUUGCAGAUCUCAUUCAAGAUCAAGAACUCCGCUGUCACCUGCUCCUCGCGGAAAACGUGCAGGUCGAA